AGUGAACGCUGGCGGUAGGCCUAACACAUGCAAGUCGAACGGCAGCACAGUAAGAGCUUGCUCUUACGGGUGGCGAGUGGCGGACGGGUGAGGAAUACAUCGGAAUCUACUUUUUCGUGGGGGAUAACGUAGGGAAACUUACGCUAAUACCGCAUACGACCUACGGGUGAAAGCAGGGGAUCUUCGGACCUUGCGCGAUUGAAUGAGCCGAUGUCGGAUUAGCUAGUUGGCGGGGUAAAGGCCCACCAAGGCGACGAUCCGUAGCUGGUCUGAGAGGAUGAUAGCCGGCAUUGGAGCUUGGACAGGGUCCAGACGCCUACGGGAGGCAGCAGUCGGGAAUAUUGGACAAUGGGGGGAAGCCUGAUCCAGCCAUACCGCGUGGGUGACGAAGGCCUUCGGGUUGUAAAGCCCUUUUGUGGGGAGAGAAAAGCAGCAGGUUAAUACCCCGCUGUUCUGACGGUACCCAAAGAAUAAGCACCGGCUAACUUCGUG
This 492-nucleotide ribosomal RNA is filed under the name uncultured bacterium. Its description in RNAcentral is "partial 16S ribosomal RNA". It matches the Rfam family "Bacterial small subunit ribosomal RNA", at positions 29 to 507 of the family's 1533-position model. The record is from RNAcentral.